AGAGUUUGAUCAUGGCUCAGGAUGAACGCUAGCGGGAGGCCUAACACAUGCAAGUCGAACGGGAUUGGGAGCUUGCUCCCAUGAGAGUGGCGCACGGGUGAGUAACGCGUAUGCAACCUACCUUUAACAGAGGGAUAGCCCAUAGAAAUGUGGAUUAAUACCUCAUAGUUCUAUAUAUCCGCAUGGAUUUAUAGAUAAAACUCCGGUGGUUACAGAUGGGCAUGCGUGACAUUAGUUUGUUGGUGAGGUAACGGCUCACCAAGACUACGAUGUCUAGGGGUUCUGAGAGGAUGAUCCCCCACACUGGUACUGAGACACGGACCAGACUCCUACGGGACGCAGCAG
RNAcentral lists this ribosomal RNA (345 nucleotides) under uncultured bacterium. RNAcentral describes it as "bacterial SSU rRNA". It matches the Rfam family "Bacterial small subunit ribosomal RNA", at positions 8 to 354 of the family's 1533-position model. The record is from RNAcentral.